GUAGGUGAACCUGCGGAAGGAUCAUUAGAGAGACUUUGCCCUUUGGGUAUAUCUCCCACCCUGAUUAUUUUACCUGGUUGCUUUGGCGAGCAGACGCUAUAUGCUGAAGCUCGCCAGAGUGUAUAUACUCUUGUUUCAUGUAGUCUGAGAAAAAUACAAAUAUUUAAAACUUUCAACAACGGAUCUCUUGGUUCUG
RNAcentral lists this unclassified non-coding RNA (196 nucleotides) under rhizosphere metagenome. RNAcentral's name for it is "partial ribosomal RNA internal transcribed spacer region". The record is from RNAcentral.